ACUUUCUCUCCAAGUGACUCCAGUCAGGGCUACCUGGCAGGGAUAAGAAGUGCAGUGGAACCCCUACAUUGUGCAACGAACGGUGAGCACGUCCGAGCACUUCGCUGGUAAAUUUUCACAAGAUGAACACACCAAGGAAACAGCACCAGAUUAUUCCAUCCAUGAUUGCUCAGGCCCUUGACUUGGGUAGAAUAUCAUGGCUGCCGAAGCCUGUGCCAGAGGAAGACAGCCCACAGCAGGAAUCAGACAGCACCACAGAAACAGUCCUGGGCCAAUACCUCCGAGAGCCUGCCCUCAGCCACAGACUUCCUCCAUCUUCCAGUUCCCUCUGUCUCUAAAUUAGGACCACCAGAGAGAAUCCUAAGGUUCAAAAC
Molecule: long non-coding RNA, 374 nt
Organism: Mastomys coucha (southern multimammate mouse)
Lineage: Eukaryota; Metazoa; Chordata; Mammalia; Rodentia; Muridae
Exons: 3
Source: RefSeq, a predicted model, not a curated record